This 59-nucleotide transfer RNA is filed under the name Cavia porcellus (domestic guinea pig). It matches the Rfam family "tRNA", at positions 7 to 64 of the family's 71-position model. From Rfam's summary of the family: Transfer RNA (tRNA) molecules are approximately 80 nucleotides in length. Their secondary structure includes four short double-helical elements and three loops (D, anti-codon, and T loops). The record is from Rfam by way of RNAcentral. Lineage: Eukaryota; Metazoa; Chordata; Mammalia; Rodentia; Caviidae.
GUAGCUCAGUGACAGAGCAUUUGGCUAGCAGACAUAAGGCCCUGGGUUCAAUCCCCAGC